RNAcentral lists this ribosomal RNA (470 nucleotides) under uncultured bacterium. Its description in RNAcentral is "bacterial SSU rRNA". It matches the Rfam family "Bacterial small subunit ribosomal RNA", at positions 328 to 794 of the family's 1533-position model. The record is from RNAcentral.
UCCCCAGACUCCUACGGGAGGCAGCAGUGAGGAAUAUUGGUCAAUGGGCUUACGCCUGAACCAGCCAAGUCGCGUGAGGGAAGACUGCCCUAUGGGUUGUAAACCUCUUUUGUCAGGGAGCAACGCCGGCUACGUGUAGCCGGACUGAGAGUACCUGAAGAAAAAGCAUCGGCUAACUCCGUGCCAGCAGCCGCGGUAAUACGGAAGGUCCGGGCGUUAUCCGGAUUUAUUGGGUUUAAAGGGAGCGUAGGCCGGUCUUUAAGCGUGCCGUGAAAUUUUGUGGCUCAACCAUGAGAGUGCGGCGCGAACUGGAGACCUUGAGUGCGCGGAAGGCAGGCGGAAUUCGUGGUGUAGCGGUGAAAUGCUUAGAUAUCACGCAGAACCCCGAUUGCGAAGGCAGCAUACCGGCGCCCUACUGACGCUGAGGCACGAAAGUGCGGGUAUCGAACAGGAUUAGAUACCCUUGUAUG